This 425-nucleotide ribosomal RNA is filed under the name uncultured bacterium. RNAcentral describes it as "partial 16S ribosomal RNA". It matches the Rfam family "Bacterial small subunit ribosomal RNA", at positions 354 to 796 of the family's 1533-position model. The record is from RNAcentral.
GUGGGGAAUCUUAGACAAUGGGCGCAAGCCUGAUCUAGCCAUGCCGCGUGAGCGAUGAAGGCCUUAGGGUUGUAAAGCUCUUUCAGCUGGGAAGAUAAUGACGGUACCAGCAGAAGAAGCCCCGGCUAACUCCGUGCCAGCAGCCGCGGUAAUACGGAGGGGGCUAGCGUUGUUCGGAAUUACUGGGCGUAAAGCGCACGUAGGCGGAUCAGAAAGACAGAGGUGAAAUCCCAGGGCUCAACCUUGGAACUGCCUUUGAAACUCCUGAUCUUGAGGUCGAGAGAGGUGAGUGGAAUUCCGAGUGUAGAGGUGAAAUUCGUAGAUAUUCGGAGGAACACCAGUGGCGAAGGCGGCUCACUGGCUCGAUACUGACGCUGAGGUGCGAAAGCGUGGGGAGCAAACAGGAUUAGAAACCCGGGUAGUCC